AUUGGACGCUGGCGGCAUGCCUUACACAUGCAAGUCGAACGGUAACAGGUCUUCGGAUGCUGACGAGUGGCGAACGGGUGAGUAAUACAUCGGAACGUGCCCAAUCGUGGGGGAUAACGCAGCGAAAGCUGUGCUAAUACCGCAUAAGAUCUACGGAUGAAAGCGGGGGAUCGCAAGACCUCGCGCGAAUGGAGCGGCCGAUGGCAGAUUAGGUAGUUGGCGGGGUAAAAGCCCACCAAGCCGACGAUCUGUAGCUGGUCUGAGAGGACGACCAGCCACACUGGGACUGAGACACGGCCCAGACUCCUACGGGAGGCAGCAGUGGGGAAUAUUGGACAAUGGGCGCAAGCCUGAUCCAGCAAUGCCGCGUGCAGGAAGAAGGCCUUCGGGUUGUAAACUGCUUUUGUACGGAACGAAACGGUCUGGGUUAAUACCCUGGGCUAAUGACGGUACCGUAAGAAUAAGCACCGGCUAACUACGUGCCAGCCGCCGCCGUAA
Molecule: ribosomal RNA, 498 nt
Filed under: uncultured bacterium
Lineage: Bacteria
Description: partial 16S ribosomal RNA
Rfam family: Bacterial small subunit ribosomal RNA
Source: RNAcentral